Molecule: ribosomal RNA, 301 nt
Filed under: uncultured bacterium
Lineage: Bacteria
Description: partial 16S ribosomal RNA
Rfam family: Bacterial small subunit ribosomal RNA
Source: RNAcentral
CAGCAGCCGCGGGAAUACGAAGGGUGCAAGCGUUAAUCGGAAUUACUGGGCGUAAAGCGUGCGUAGGCGGUGAGUUAAGUCUGCUGUGAAAUCCCCGGGCUCAACCUGGGAAUGGCAGUGGAUACUGGCAAGCUAGAGUGUGUCAGAGGAUGGUGGAAUUCCCGGUGUAGCGGUGAAAUGCGUAGAGAUCGGGAGGAACAUCAGUGGCGAAGGCGGCCAUCUGGGGCAACACUGGCGCUGAGGCACGAAAGCGUGGGGAGCAAACAGGAUUAGAUACCCCCGUAGUCCCUGUCUCUUAUAC